GCUAGUGCUCCUAACUUUUUAGUCACCUCACUAGAUAUAGCCACCUUGGUGUUUUUGCUUGUUUGUUUUGACAGGGUGUCUCACUGGGACCCACAUCUCACAGAUUAGACUGAUUUACCAGCUGAGGAACAUCAGGGUUUCUCUGCAGCUUUGGAGUCUAUCCUGGAACUAGCUCUUGUAGAUCAGGCUGGCCUUGAACUCACAGAGAUCUGCUUGCCUCUGCCUCCUGCUUGCUGGGAUUAAAGAUAUGUCUCUGAGUACCUGCCUGGUGUCUUCAGAGAAAACAACUGGACAAGCUCUCUGCUUCGUGCCCAUGGAUACGAUGAGAUCAGCUGCCUCAAGCCCUUGCCUGCCACUUGAAUCAUCACACUUCAACAUGGAACUAAACUCCAAACCAUCAUAGAAGCCCGAAGGGACCUGACCAACUGAGCCUUCAGGAAAACAUGCUUAGCGGAUCUCAAUCUUCCCCAGCAGAGACACAAAUCCAUGAGGCUGGAGGGGAGAUGGCUGAUGGUGAGAUCUCAUGCAGGAUGCAGUGCUCCCACGUCUCAUCUCUGUAUAUUGUCCCAUUGCGAGUCUCUGGGCUAGUUCUUAUCUACCACAAGCUCCUCUGAUGAGAGUUAAGUGAUACACUGAUCUAUAUGCUCUAUGGGUCUAGCAAUAUUUUAUUUGGAAUCAUUUUACUGUUUUGUUCCUUUUGCAGGAUAAUAGGGGUUUCCCCCAAGGUCCAUGAUCUAUCUAUUCUGAGGUUCUUGUAACAUAUUAACAGUGUCAGGUAUGGGGUUGGUUCUAUGGAGUGGGCUAGAAGUCCAAUCGAAGUGAGGGGGGGCGAUUACUCCAAUAAUAUUGGUGCACUAUUACACCUGUAUAUUGUGCAGGCAUGUCACGAUUGUAGGUUGCAAAGUUUAUCGCUGAGUGAUAAUGGUUAUUUGUUUGUUCCUCUCCCAGCAUGCAGAGUACCUUCCAGCUCUAUGAACAUUAAGGAUAAAGCUUCUAGUUGGGUAUCAGCCCAAUUUCUCCAUGGUUGAUGACAUAAGGUCUCACCAUGCUGCUCAUCAUAAUCUCAGACUCAGGCACAGAGGAGGGACUUCUCGCCUGUCUCCUGUGUAUCUUUCACUGAAGAGACAAACCACACACCAAGCUGGUGGCUGUUAAACACAUUGGGAAGUAAGCCUGGAAUAACCCUCCUACAAACUAGGAGUAACAGAGUUUGAACACUCCAGGUAAUAGGACGUCGAUCCACUGUUCUUUUUCUUGAAUAAUUUGCCUGAGAUCAGCAUCCAGUCAAUGAUUGGUGAAGUAGCAUCCACCUGAAUCUUCUCCUUUAUAACCACUGGGAAAGUCCUGAGCCUUUUCAGAGUCCUAGGAAUGUUGCGUAUUUCUGAUACUGUGUCUGACAGCUGCUCGGUGAGGUAGUAGUUCAAGCCAUAAAGCCGCUUCCUCUUCUCAUCCUGAGAAGCUCACACUGGAGACCAUUACUCUUAUCCUAUGGCUUCCUCUACCCUCGUCUGCAAUGGUCACUGAGCCUUGAAAGGAGGACUGUGUGAUACAGAUGCCCUAUGUUCAGCAUGUUCAGCAAGCUCAGUCACACAUUCUCUGCACCCUGAUCGGUUGAAUGUUGCUGUGCUUCCUCUUCCCAUCUUGAGAAGCUCACACUGGAGACCACUACUCUUAGCUUAUGGGAUGUGGGAAGAGGAUGAUGUACAGAACCUGGGCUUUCAACAGCAGUCAGGAAAUUUUCAUUUUUCCAGCAUCCUGUGACAAGGAAGAAGCCUGUGGAAACCUCAUCUACCAGAAUGGGCGUUAAGGUUUAUCUGUGUAACAGCCCUAGUUGUUCUGGAACUAGCUCUGUAGACCAGACUGACCGCAAACUCAGAGACUGUCCUGCUUCUUCCUCCCAAGUGCUGGGACUAAAGGGUCUUACAUACCUGCUCAUAACAACCACAGAUGCAGGCAUGGAGGAAGUGUUUCUUCCCAACUUUGGAGAAGGUUUCAUGGAAGAGAAAUUUGUCACACCUAGCUGGUGGUUCCAACUCAAGUAGUAGAGCCAAGCUUCCUCUCUGCAUCCCGAGAGCUGACACUGGAGGAGAAUAUUUCCCUGAGUUUGUGGUAUUGUAAAACCACUUGCUGCCCAAUUCCAUUUCUGAUUAUUGAUUACUCAUGUAAAUAAUUAGAUUGAACUCUUUAUUUUGUUAUGUUCCUGAUUUUGUUGAGGUCAUUAGAUCUCAGUGCAUCUUCUUGAUAACUUUACACAAGGCUAUGCCCUUUCAUAGAAAUGUAAAAAUCCCAUUUGUCAUUGGCACCAGACAUCUAAGAAUAAGAAUGAUACAGUAUUUGUUUUCCCCAAAAACUUCUUUGAGGAAACCUUCCAGGACAGUGUGUGAUGGACAUGGCAAGGAUGAAUGUUCCUGGUUACUAUUCAACAUGCAGAAGUGCCAUCCUUAACGGCUCUGCACAGGUAUUCACGUGGUAAAUUUUCGUGAGCAGUCAGGAAAGGAAACAAACAACACGAUGACUUGGAAUGGGAUACAGAUUUGCUGAGCCUUCAUUACUCUCCUCAACUGGAUCAUGAAACAAGUUGGAUUUUUUUUUGUGGGAUGAUGGAUAA
Molecule: long non-coding RNA, 2608 nt
Organism: Alexandromys fortis (reed vole)
Lineage: Eukaryota; Metazoa; Chordata; Mammalia; Rodentia; Cricetidae
Exons: 18
Source: RefSeq, a predicted model, not a curated record